Homo sapiens (human) is the source of this 1224-nucleotide long non-coding RNA. Lineage: Eukaryota; Metazoa; Chordata; Mammalia; Primates; Hominidae. The record is from Ensembl.
GGUAACCCGCUGGGGUCCCCUUCUACACUGUGGAAGCUUUGUUCUUUGCAAUAAAUCUUGCUACUGCUUACUCUUUGGGUCCACAUUGCUUUUAUGAGCUAUAACACUCACCGCGAAGGUCUGCAGCUACACUCCUGAAGCUAGCGAGACCAUGAGCCCACUGGGAGGAAAAAACAACUCCAGACGCGCUGCCUUAAGAGCUGUAACACUCACCGCGAAGGUCUGCAGCUUCACUCCUGAGCCAGCGAGACCACGAACCCAACAGAAGGAAAAAUCUCCGAACACAUCCAAACAUCAGAAGGAACAAACUCCAGUGCGCCACCUUAAGAGCUGUAACACUCACCACGAGGGUCCGCGGCUUCAUUCCUGAAGUCAGUGAGACCAAGAACCCGCCAAUUCCAGACACGUUUUGGCAACCCAGAUGGGACUUUCGCCUAUCGCCAAGUGGUGAGACAAUCGCCGAGCAGUGAGACCAUCGCCUAUUGCUGAGCAAAUUGAGGCCAUCAAGCUACAGAUGGUCUUACAAAUGGAACCCCAAAUGAGUUCAACUAACAACUUCUACCGAGGACCCCUGGACCGACCCACUGGCACUUCCCCUGGCCUAGAGAGUUCCCCUCUGAAGGACACCACAACUACAGGGCCCCUUCUUCGCCUCUAUCCAGCAGGAAGUAGCUAGAGUGGUCAUCGGCCAAAUUCCCAACAGCAGUUGGGGUGUCCUGUUUAGAGGGGGGAUUGAGAGAUGACAGCGUGCUGGCAGUCCUCACAGCCCUCGCUCGCUCUCGGCGUCUCCUCUGCCUGGGCUCCCACUUUGGCGGCACUUGAGGAGCACUUCAGCCCACUGCUGCACUGUGGGAGCCCCUUUCUGGGCUGGCCGAGGCUGGAGCCGGCUCCCUCAGCUUGCAGGGAGGUGUGGAGGGAGAGGUGCGAGUGGGAACCCGGGCUGUGCGCGGCGCUUGUGGGCCAGCUGGAGUUCCGGGUGGGCGUGGGCUUGGUGGGCCCCGCACUCGGAGCAGCCGGCCGGCCCUGCCAGCCCCGGGCAAUGAGGGGCUUAGCACCCGGGCCAGCGGCUGCGGAGGGUGUACUGGGUCCCCCAGCAGUGCCAGCCCGCUGGCGCUGCGCUCGAUUUCUCACCAGGCCUUAGCUGCCUUCCCAUGGGGCAGGGCUCGGGACCGGCAGCCCAUCAUGCCUGAGCCUCCCACCCCCUCCGUGGGCUCCCAAGCCUCC